This 503-nucleotide ribosomal RNA is filed under the name uncultured bacterium. Its description in RNAcentral is "bacterial SSU rRNA". It matches the Rfam family "Bacterial small subunit ribosomal RNA", at positions 21 to 518 of the family's 1533-position model. The record is from RNAcentral.
GGCUCAGGAUGAACGCUAGCGACAGGCCUAACACAUGCAAGUCGAGGGGCAGCACAAGGAGCAAUCUGAGGUGGCGGCCGGCGCACGGGUGAGUAACACGUAUGCAACCUGCCUGUAAGCGGGGAAUAACCCGUUGAAAGACGGACUAAUACCGCAUAAUACUAAAUUACUGCAUGGUAAUUUAUUUAAACAUUUAUGGCUUACAGAUGGGCAUGCGCAUGAUUAGCUAGUUGGAGAGGUAACGGCUCCCCAAGGCAACGAUCAUUAGGGGUUCUGAGAGGAAGGUCCCCCCACACUGGUACUGAGACACGGACCAGACUCCUACGGGAGGCAGCAGUGAGGAAUAUUGGUCAAUGGACGAGAGUCUGAACCAGCCAAGUCGCGUGCAGGAAGAAUGUCCUAUGGAUUGUAAACUGCUUUUGCAGGGGAAUAAAGUGCAUCACGUGUGAUGUUUUGUAUGUACUCUGCGAAUAAGGAUCGGCUAACUCCGUGCCAGCCGCGGC